Molecule: transfer RNA, 76 nt
Filed under: Thermococcus sp. P6
Lineage: Archaea; Methanobacteriati; Methanobacteriota; Thermococci; Thermococcales; Thermococcaceae
Description: tRNA-Gln
Rfam family: tRNA
About the family: Transfer RNA (tRNA) molecules are approximately 80 nucleotides in length. Their secondary structure includes four short double-helical elements and three loops (D, anti-codon, and T loops). Further hydrogen bonds mediate the characteristic L-shaped molecular structure. tRNAs have two regions of fundamental functional importance: the anti-codon, which is responsible for specific mRNA codon recognition, and the 3' end, to which the tRNAs corresponding amino acid is attached (by aminoacyl-tRNA synthetases). tRNAs cope with the degeneracy of the genetic code in two manners: having more than one tRNA (with a specific anti-codon) for a particular amino acid; and 'wobble' base-pairing, i.e. permitting non-standard base-pairing at the 3rd anti-codon position.
Source: RNAcentral
AGCCCCGUGGUGUAGUGGCCAAUCAUGCGGGACUUUGGAUCCCGCGACCCGGGUUCGAAUCCCGGCGGGGCUACCA